UACAGAGGGUGCAAACGUUGUUCGGAAUUACUGGGCGUAAAGCGCAUGUAGGCUGCUUGGAAAGUCGGGUGUGAAAGCCCUGGGCUCAACCCAGGAAGUGCACUCGAAACUUCCAAGCUCGAGUCCUGGAGAGGGUGGCGGAAUUCUCGGUGUAGAGGUGAAAUUCGUAGAUAUCGAGAGGAACACCGGUGGCGAAGGCGGCUACCUGGACAGUGACUGACGCUGAGAUGCGAAAGCGUGGGGAGCAAACAGG
Molecule: ribosomal RNA, 253 nt
Filed under: uncultured bacterium
Lineage: Bacteria
Description: partial 16S ribosomal RNA
Rfam family: Bacterial small subunit ribosomal RNA
Source: RNAcentral